GUAUAAAGUUUAAAGGGUCAAUAAAGCCCCAAUAAAAUGACAUUCUUAACAUACUUCAAAGGUUUGUAAAGACAUAGAAGUCUUAUCAAGUCAACUAACAAGCCUUUCGACUCGAGCCAACCUAAUAAAACUCCUACAAAAAGUGCACAGGUGGAUGAAUAGUUUGGAGAAGAGAACUGUGCACAUGCCUUGUUAAAAGCCAGCAACGUAGCCCCCUUCACCAUAACAUUUCAAUAAUGAUCCUUCCGCAGGUUCACCUACGGAAA
RNAcentral lists this unclassified non-coding RNA (266 nucleotides) under uncultured fungus. Its description in RNAcentral is "sequence contains ITS1". Lineage: Eukaryota; Fungi. The record is from RNAcentral.